This is a non-coding RNA of Maylandia zebra (zebra mbuna), 1014 nucleotides long. The record is from RefSeq and is a predicted model, not a curated record. Lineage: Eukaryota; Metazoa; Chordata; Actinopteri; Cichliformes; Cichlidae.
CACAAUGAGGCUCCUUCAAAUGAUGUCACCUACUCUGAGGUCACCAGUAGAGAGGCAUCCAAUAAGAUGCCAGUCAUCCAACCAGAAAUGGUUUACUCCACCCUGAGGACAAACACUACAGAAGGUGGAGGAACCACAGACGCCACAGAAGAAAUUAAAAAGUGAAAGAAACGACGAGUUUCUCUGUGUAAACAGGAAGCUGAGGACAGACCUGCAGAUGUGUCGGGCUCACCGUGGGAACAUUUACAGUCAUCAGCUUCCUCCUUUCUUCAUUCACUCCCAUUUAAUCCAAUCAAUGGAGUCAUGAUGGCAGCAAGUGAGGAAGGCGUCCUGUUUCCAGUUCCUCCAGAGAAACCAGGAGGAGGAACUGAAGACAUCAAACUGCUGCUGGUUUGAGUCUCUGCAGCUUGAACUCUGACAAAGGUCGUCUACGAUGGAGCUGCUUCCUUCAUUUCAAUCUGAUCAAUACUCUGAACUCCCGCUGUAAUUUCAGCAGGUGUGAUUUAACACAGAUUUAAUGAACAGACAGAUCUGCAUCGAUCAGGAACUUUCCUGUUUAUAUCAGGAAGAGAGGGGGCACACUUAAUUAUCUCUUUGGGUACAGCCAGUGAUUUUCAGGAGGGGCCCAGCAGUAAUAAAUGCAUCAACUAGUUUUUCAGCAUUUUACUCUGAGAUGGGAAGUUCUGUUUUUGGAGACAGCAGAAUCUGAAUGCUUCGUUAUGUUUGAUUUAUUUAAUAUUCUUAUUGGUAUCUGAAUAUUGUGCUGGAGUGGACAGGGGUUAAGGGAAAAAAAGGCCCACUCCAACAACACAAAGCACACUUAAAUCAUACACAACGCCUGAAAGACAAAACAGACAAAACGCAAACAAAUAUACAUUUUUACAGAGUGUGUUUGUGAGUGUCUGUGUAUGAGUGUUUGUCAUGAAACGUACUUGAAAGGUCAAAUUCUGUAAUGACUGUAAAAAUGUAAUAAUUAUGAUGCAAUUAAAAAGGAGAAACAAAGGCUGCACAGCA